CCGCUGGCCAUGCUAAAAUAGCCUUUUGGUCACUAGAGGCCUCUAUCAUUCUCUAUGGCAUUUCCCUCCUUUUUUGAAUUCCCACAGAUGACACGUCAUCAACAAGAGACAAAAUAGGUUUGCAGAAAGCUUGGUUAGAAAAAUACAAUCUUAUUUAGGUUUUGGUACGAGAGCCUGUGUUUAACGUGGUUCCUCUAACAUGUAUAAUGACGUGGAAUUUGGGUGUACACAUUUUCUAAUUUAGAGUGUGUUUACCAACUAAUUAUUCAUCAAGAAAGGUUGUCAUACACUGUUUCUUAGUGUAUGAGGACCUCACAGUUGGCGAAAACAAACCAAACGCUAGUAGCUCUAGUCUUAAGUCUGAAAGAUACGUUAGCUAGCUAAAUUAUACAUUUUUUUCCGCAGAUAAUAAGGUCAUGUCUUCUGUUCAAUUUGCUAUCUGCUUCCUUCUGAAAUAUAUUUGAGGUGAGGGGUCUCCUUGCUAUGGCUAUCAGUGCCGACUGCCUUUCUAGCUAUCUAACUAAAUGCACGUUAGCCACAUAAAAUUAACAUUUGACUCCGUGUUCUCAACUAGCAGAAUUCAAAAAAAUAGUUAGCUUAUGAUGAAUUAAUGUAAUUUUACACUUAAAAUAUAUAUUAUAAAUAUUUAACUUUUAUUUAACUAGGCAAGUCAGCUAAGAACACAUUCUUAUUUACAAUGACGGCCUAACAAAAGGCCUCCUGCGAGGACGGGGGCUGGGAUUAAAAAUACAAAUAUUUAAAUAUAGGACAAAACACACAUCAUGACAAUGGAGACCUAACGUAACAACAUAGCACGGCAGCAACACACGACAACACAACAUGGUAGCAGCACAGAACAUGGCACAAACAUUAUUGGGCACUGACAACAGCAAGAAGGUAGCGACAACAAUACAUCACGCAUGACGUGUAGCUAGCUAUAUGAUCAUGCUUUAUGUACCACUCACUCCAGUGUUAUCAGAUCAUGGUUGACACCGAGAAAAGAGCAGUGGGCUGUGGUGCCACAUCCACCAUAGACCUCAGUGGAAAGAACAAAGAGAAUGAGAAGAAGAAGCGGUCCUGUGUGAAACUAGUGAUGGCAGAUGUGAAGAAACAGGUGGACGUCUAGUUCGGGGAUGUCAACCUUCACAAGGACAGGCUUCUGAGACGACUCAUUGAGGAGUCACAAGAUGGAUAUGUUGACUAAUCAGUGUUGACAUCCUUCAACUGAAUGAAAAAUCGGACAACUGAUUGCAAGGGCGCUGAAAAAUGUAUCUGUUGUUGAGGUCAAGCUAGAGGGAACUAAAGUUUGACAGCAGCGUCCAAUAGGAAAGGAUCCAAAAGAUGUAGACAACCGAGCAAUCUGUGGAACUUCUGCCCAAGAAAGUAACCCACGACUGGCUAGAGCGAGUGUUCACCAAAUGUGAAAAUGUGGUUUACGUCAGCAUGCCGAGAUACAAAACCACGGGCCACUCCAAAGGGUUCGCCUUCAUUGAGUUUGAGACGGAAGAGGAAGCACAGAAAGCCGUAGAGAUGCUAAACAACCCUCCAGAGGACGCCCCCUGGAAGCCUGGCAUUUUUCCCAAGACCAAGAACAGGAAGCCUAUCCCUGAUCCACCCUCCCUGAACACCACACAAGACGACAAAGAGGAGGAGAAUAAAUCUCUCCAGGGAGAGAGCCAAAAAGGAUGCCUCGUCACAGAUGGAGACGACAGUGGGCGGGGGCAAACAGGAAAUAGAAUCUGAGUCUAAACCGUCUGACAGGAAGAGGAAACACACGGCCGAGUUUGCAGAGGGCGUAGCACCUGCGGAGGGCACAGGGAAGCCCCCAUCCAGAAAGCUAGAGAAGAAGAGACGGCGGUCCCAGACAGGGGAGAGCUCAGAGAGUGACGCACAGGGAGACAUGCCAUCCAAGCUGAGGAAGACGAGUGAGGAUGACAUGGUGGAGAGCGAUGGGAAAGACCUGCAAGUCAAGGGUGAGGAAGAGGAGGAGAAGAUGGAAGACUUCCUACUGAAAGCCAAGAGGACAAGGAAGAAGAAGCACAAGGAGAGGGUGAAGAUCAGGGAAGAGGUUAUUCCUCUCCGGGUUCUCUCCAAGAAAGACUGGCUGAAGCAGGAGUAUAUGACCCUGCAGAAGAGGAGCAUGGGAGCUCUGAAGACUUGCUUGACCAAGUUCCACCACAAGGGGGCAGGAGGGAAGAUGGACACCAGUCUGCAACAGACAUCCGAGGAGAGUAAGGCAGGUGAAAAGGAGACUUCCCUCGGGGCUGCAUCAUCUAGAUCACACUCACCAAACCCUUUCCUGGCAGAAAAGUCAUCAAGGAUGCUCUCGCAGAGGUUUCCCCAGUGGUGUAUGUGGACGCCAUAGAGGGUGACGCUGAGGGUUAUGUCCGCUUCAAGAGUCCAGUCGAGGCCAAGGCCAUCAUUGAUGCUCGCACCGGGCUGCAGAACAAACACAGCCGGCAGCUAGAGAUCCUCUCUGCGUCAUCAUUAGAGGAUCAAGAAAGGCGACCAUGAACAAAGGUACUGGCAGAAGAUCCUGGUGGACCGCCAAGCUAAGCUGAACCGACCCAGAAACAAGAAAAGGGGCACAGAGAAAAUAAGAUUCCCCUCCAUUUUAAUUUAUAUGGAUUAUGUACAAGGAUCUCUAGCAGCACCCAACCAUUUUAAUUUGAGGAGAAACAUUUUGUUAAUGAGCAUGUUCACUCAUUAUUAUAUGCCUUAAAUUGAUUUUAACAGAGCAAUGUCUCCGUUGUAUCUCUUUCUGCCCCAGCUCAUUUCCAAAGCUGAGAAAAUCAUCAUAGCUAGGGACAGGAGGCCACUAAACACAUCCGCAUCAUGGAGGACUGAUCAAGACUGUCAAGUUCUACUGUGCGUCCUUUCUUUUCUGAAUCAUUUUCUUCCUUAAAGAGUUUGACUGUCGGCCAUUUUGUCAUUUCUACAUAGGAUGAUGUUUUUGUGAAGCUUUGUUUUUCUUUUCAUGAGAAUGGUACAAGCAGAGAGAAGCCAUGGUUUUAAAGGGGAUGUUGUAGUUUUAAAAGGGAUACACGAUAACCUUCCGCUGACUGGAAGGUUUUCAUGUAUGGCGACUGUUUUACAAGCAGAAAGCUGCUACGUUAUUUAAAUUGGGAAUAGGUUCGCUCACUAGUUUUUUGUGUUGCAGAGAGAGGUGCCAAAAUUUCAGUUAUGAAAUGUGAAUGUAUAUACUGUAAAUAUGAUUUCAAAACGUGCCCAGAAAAGCUUUGUUCAAGAACAAUGUUUCGGUAACAUGGCAACGAUAACCUUUUCUUUUUGAAUACAUUUUUACUAUUUUCUAAAUAAUAAAUAUACAUUUUGGUG
Molecule: non-coding RNA, 3336 nt
Organism: Oncorhynchus mykiss (rainbow trout)
Lineage: Eukaryota; Metazoa; Chordata; Actinopteri; Salmoniformes; Salmonidae
Source: RefSeq, a predicted model, not a curated record